Molecule: ribosomal RNA, 274 nt
Filed under: uncultured bacterium
Lineage: Bacteria
Description: partial 16S ribosomal RNA
Rfam family: Bacterial small subunit ribosomal RNA
Source: RNAcentral
AUACGGAGGGUGCAAGCGCUACUCGGAAUCACUGGGCGUAAAGCGCGCGCAUGCGGCUUGAUAAGUUGGAUGUGAAAGCCUACGGCUCAACCGUAGAACUGCAUCCAAAACUGUCAGGCUAGGGUGUGGGAGAGGAAGAUGGAAUUAGUUGUGUAGGGGUAAAAUCCGUAGAGAUAACUAGGAAUACCAAAAGCGAAGGCAAUCUUCUGGAACACUACUGACGCUGAGGCGCGAAGGCGUGGGGAGCAAGCAGCAUUAGAAACCCCAGUAGUCC